GAGACUAAGGUGUCAGUAUGUUCUUCAAGCUGCUCUGCUCCUGGGCCCAAGCUAUUCUCCUGCCUCAGCCUUCCAAGAAGCUGAAACUACAAGAACACAAGACUGUACCUGGCUUGCAAACACCAUUGCUAAUAAGAAGAUAUUGUAAGACUGAUACCUAAGAGAUAAGAGGCCCUCCCUCCGUUGCCCAGGUGGGAGUGCAGUGGUGUGAUGUCAGUUCACUGCAACCUUGGCCUCCCGGAUUCAAGCGAUUCUCCUGCCUUAACCUUCCGAGUAGACAUGGAUCCCUGAGGUCGGUCCCCAAUACGACAAGACAAUUUGAUAUCAUAAUAGAACACUGCAGAAACAAUGCUGAGUGAAGAAGAGUAGAAAUGGGAAGACUUGGUUGAGCGGAAACUGAGUUCUUGAAAAGAGGAGAUGCUUGAUGAGGGCAUGGAUCCCUGAGGUCUGCCCCAGUACUAUAAGACAAUUUGAUGUAAGAAAACACAGCAGAUAUAAUACUGAGUGAAGAAGAGUAUAAAUGAGAAGAUUGGUUGUGCAGAUACUGAGUUCAUGAAAAGAGGAGAUGAUUGAUGAGGCCAGGUGCGGUGACUCAUGCCUGUAAUCCCUGCACUUUGGGAGGCUGCGGCGGGCGGAUCACCUGAGGUCAGGAGUUCGAGACCAGCCUGGGAGACAGAGCAUGGAAACCUAAGGUCUGUACCCAAAACUACAGGACUAUUUGACAUCAUAAUAAAACACUGCAGAUAUGAUGCUGAGUAAGAGUAGAAAUGGGAAGACUUGGUUGUGCAGUAACUGAGUUCUUGAAAAGAGGAGAUGCUUGAUGAGGGUGAGUGGAUUACAUCACUGUUUAAUA
This 853-nucleotide long non-coding RNA is filed under the name Homo sapiens (human). Its description in RNAcentral is "non-protein coding FIRRE:18". The record is from RNAcentral. Lineage: Eukaryota; Metazoa; Chordata; Mammalia; Primates; Hominidae.